Molecule: ribosomal RNA, 459 nt
Filed under: uncultured bacterium
Lineage: Bacteria
Description: partial 16S ribosomal RNA
Rfam family: Bacterial small subunit ribosomal RNA
Source: RNAcentral
CCUACGGGUGGCAGCAGUGAGGAAUAUUGGUCAAUGGCCGUAAGGCUGAACCAGCCAAGUAGCGUGAGGGAAGACUGCCCUAUGGGUUGUAAACCUCUUUUAUGCGGGGAUAAAGGUGUCCACGGGUGGGCGGAUGAGUGUACCCGAAGAAAAAGCAUCGGCUAACUCCGUGCCAGCAGCCGCGGUAAUACGGAGGAUGCGAGCGUUAUCCGGAUUUAUUGGGUUUAAAGGGUGCGUAGGCGGACAGUCAAGUCAGCGGUAAAAAUGCGGUGCUCAACGCCGUACAGCCGUUGAAACUGGCAGUCUUGAGUGGGCGAGAAGUAUGCGGAAUGCGUGGUGUAGCGGUGAAAUGCAUAGAUAUCACGCAGAACUCCGAUUGCGAAGGCAGCAUACCGGCGCCCGACUGACGCUGAGGCACGAAAGCGUGGGUAUCGAACAGGAUUAGAUACCCGAGUAGUC